RNAcentral lists this ribosomal RNA (503 nucleotides) under uncultured bacterium. RNAcentral's name for it is "partial 16S ribosomal RNA". It matches the Rfam family "Bacterial small subunit ribosomal RNA", at positions 30 to 523 of the family's 1533-position model. The record is from RNAcentral.
AUUGAACGCUGGCGGCAGGCUUAACACAUGCAAGUCGAGCGGGGUGAUGGUGCUUGCACUAUCACUUAGCGGCGGACGGGUGAAUAAUGCUUAGGAAUCUGCCUAUUAGUGGGGGACAACAUCUCGAAAGGGAUGCUAAUACCGCAUACGUCCUACGGGAGAAAGCAGGGGAUCACUUGUGACCUUGCGCUAAUAGAUGAGCCUAAGUCGGAUUAGCUAGUUGGUGGGGUAAAGGCCUACCAAGGCGACGAUUUGUAGCGGGUCUGAGAGGAUGAUCCGCCGCACUGGGACUGAGACACGGCCCAGACUCCUACGGGAGGCAGCAGUGGGGAAUAUUGGACAAUGGGGGGAACCCUGAUCCAGCCAUGCCGCGUGUGUGAAGAAGGCCUUAUGGUUGUAAAGCACUUUAAGCGAGGAGGAGGCUCUUUUGGUUAAUACCCAAGAUGAGUGGACGUUACUCGCAGAAUAAGCACCGGCUAACUCUGUGCCAGCCGCCGCCGUAA